This 406-nucleotide ribosomal RNA is filed under the name uncultured bacterium. RNAcentral describes it as "partial 16S ribosomal RNA". It matches the Rfam family "Bacterial small subunit ribosomal RNA", at positions 30 to 526 of the family's 1533-position model. The record is from RNAcentral.
AUUGAACGCUGGCGGCAGGCCUAACACAUGCAAGUCGAACGAGUGGCGGACGGGUGAGUAAUGUCUGGGAAACUGCCCGCUGGAGGGGGAUAACUACUGGAAACGGUAGCUAAUACCGCAUACCAUCGGAUGUGCCCAGUUGGGAUUAGCUAGUAGGUGGGGUAAUGGCUCACCUAGGCGACGAUCCCUAGCUGGUCUGAGAGGAUGACCAGCCAAUCUGGAACUGAGACACGGUCCAGACUCCUGCGGGAGCCAGCAGUGGGGAAUAUUGCACAAUGGGCGCAAGCCUGAUGCAGCCAUGCCGCUUGUAUGAAGAAGGCCUUCGGGUUGUAAAUUACUUUCAGCGAGGAUGCGUUACCCGCAGAAGUAGCACCGGCUAACUCCGUGCCAGCCGCCGCGGUAAUAC